CCCUUAGAUGAUUUGGGCUGCACGCGCGCUACACUGACUCUAACAAUGAGCAACUGUCUGGCCUGAGAUGGCUGGGUAGCCUUUUCAACCCAUGUCAUGAUUGGGCUAGAUUUUUGUAAGUCUUGAUCUCUAACGAGGAAUCCCUAGUAUGCGUGAAUCAUCAAUCCAUGCAGAUUAUGUCCCUGCCCUUUGUACACACCGCCCGUCGCUCCUACUGAUUGGGUGAUCCGGUGAGCUGUUCGGCCAUAGCAAUGUUUCUUGAGCAGGGCAAUGAAUGUUUCGCAAACCUUGCCACUUAGAGGAAGGAGAAGUCGUAACA
Molecule: ribosomal RNA, 319 nt
Filed under: uncultured eukaryote
Lineage: Eukaryota
Description: partial 18S ribosomal RNA
Rfam family: Eukaryotic small subunit ribosomal RNA
Source: RNAcentral